CUGUGUGCGCCUCUGAGGGAGUAACUCAUUUCUCUCCCUGCCCGCCUCAAAGAGCUGUGCUGUAAGCAUUGGCGGCGCAGAGGAGAUGAUUUGAGGUCUCCAGCGAGCGAUAGCACACCGAAGACAAGUGGCUCCUACAGCGGCGAGCUGAGGGAGCGAAUAGCCGCGAAGAGCCAAGUACCGGGGGAGCUGUUACCAGCAACGCAAGCGGCAGACGGACAGAGCAGCCGAGAGCAGAGAGCCGGGGGAGCUGUUACCGGUGCAUUGAGCGGCAGACGUCCGGAGCCACAGUGAGCAGUGAGCCGGGGGAGCUGUUACCGGCGCAUCGAGUGGCCGACGUCCGGAGCCACAGUGAGCAGUGAGCCGGGGGAGCUGUUACCGGCGCAUCGAGUGGCCGACGUCCGGAGCCACAGUGAGAAGUGAGCCGGGGGAGCUGUUACCGGCGCAUCGGGUGACCGACGUCCGGAGCCACAGAGAGCUGAAAGCCUGGGGGAGCGGUUACCAGAGCAUCAGUCGGUGAUCCAUGAAGAAACCGUCACCUGUAAUUAGCCACAUGCAAGCAGAUACUCCUAAGUAUCCCUAACACAGAUCCACUGCCCACCAAUGAGAGGAUACGUGGGCGGAGCUACCAGGCCUGAAAAGAGUGAGUGUCAGGAGGCAUUCAUAGAAGACGUCUGAGAGAGAAACAUCCAACUACCAGAAGAUACAAAAUGUUGCACCCCAGCAAAAGCCACUGUGAACCCCCAUAACAAAUGUGAAGAUAAGAUGUGCAUGCCAUAAGCACUAUGAGAAGCAGAAACGGUGUGGCCAUCUGUCAAAGAGAACUAAUGAUAGAGCAUAGAAGAAGGAGGGAGAAAUAGAAAAGAGAGAGAGGAAAGCGACUGCAGAAAGAAAAAGAAUACGUCAAAAAGAGAAGAGAAGGGGGGGUAACCUCCAUGCUCGGGAUUGAAAGUAUUUUUAGUAUAACAGGAAACAAAUGCAACCUGAUUAAAAGGUAUUCGUUGUUUUUGCACAAGCCUGGAGUCGGUCGCUGGUGGAAUUUUUGUAGCAGAGCACAUUCUAGCAAGACUCCUGUUUCAAAUGCGCCUGAACAGGGACCCUUCUGCUAGUCGUGUCACACGUGGCAGAGGACCCAAAAGCUGCAAGGUUGCGGAACACAUACCAGCGAACUCCAGACCAAGCUGAACUUGUGGGUAUCAGUA
Long non-coding RNA from Pseudophryne corroboree (corroboree frog), 1202 nucleotides. RefSeq lists it as uncharacterized. The record is from RefSeq and is a predicted model, not a curated record. The transcript is spliced from 4 exons. NCBI's taxonomy places the organism in Eukaryota, Metazoa, Chordata, Amphibia, Anura, Myobatrachidae.